GUGGCGCACGGGUGAGUAACGCGUGGGGACCUACCUCUUAGUGGGGGAUAACGGUUGGAAACGACCGCUAAUACCGCAUACGCCCUUCGGGGGAAAGAUUUAUCGCUAAGAGAUGGACCCGCGUUGGAUUAGAUAGUUGGUGAGGUAACGGCUCACCAAGUCAGCGAUCCAUAGCUGGUUUGAGAGGAUGAUCAGCCACACUGGGACUGAGACACGGCCCAGACUCCUACGGGAGGCAGCAGUGGGGAAUAUUGGACAAUGGGGGCAACCCUGAUCCAGCCAUGCCGCGUGAGUGAAGAAGGCCUUCGGGUUGUAAAGCUCUUUCAGAUGCGAAGAUGAUGACGGUAACAUCAG
RNAcentral lists this ribosomal RNA (354 nucleotides) under marine bacterium SIMO-IS200. Its description in RNAcentral is "bacterial SSU rRNA". It matches the Rfam family "Bacterial small subunit ribosomal RNA", at positions 95 to 484 of the family's 1533-position model. The record is from RNAcentral. Lineage: Bacteria; Pseudomonadati; Pseudomonadota; Alphaproteobacteria.